RNAcentral lists this ribosomal RNA (251 nucleotides) under uncultured bacterium. Its description in RNAcentral is "partial 16S ribosomal RNA". It matches the Rfam family "Bacterial small subunit ribosomal RNA", at positions 524 to 776 of the family's 1533-position model. The record is from RNAcentral.
UACGAAGGGGGCUAGCGUUGCUCGGAUUGACUGGGCGUAAAGGGCGCGUAGGCGGUUCGUACAGUCAGACGUGAAAUUCCUGGGCUCAACCUGGGGCUGCGUUUGAUACGUGCGGACUUGAGUGCGGAAGAGGGUCGUGGAAUUCCCAGUGUAGAGGUGAAAUUCGUAGAUAUUGGGAAGAACACCGGUGGCGAAGGCGGCGACCUGGUCCGAUACUGACGCUGAGGCGCGAAAGCGUGGGAGCAAACAGG